RNAcentral lists this ribosomal RNA (1047 nucleotides) under Polycephalomyces formosus. Its description in RNAcentral is "SSU rRNA". It matches the Rfam family "Eukaryotic small subunit ribosomal RNA", at positions 64 to 1123 of the family's 1831-position model. Lineage: Eukaryota; Fungi; Ascomycota; Sordariomycetes; Hypocreales; Polycephalomycetaceae. The record is from RNAcentral.
UAUAAGCAAUUAUACAGCGAAACUGCGAAUGGCUCAUUAUAUAAGUUAUCGUUUAUUUGAUAGUGCCUUACUACUUGGAUAACCGUGGUAAUUCUAGAGCUAAUACAUGCUAAAAAUCCCGACUCCGGAAGGGAUGUAUUUAUUAGAUUAAAAACCAAUGCCCUCUGGGCUCCCUGGUGAUUCAUGAUAACUUCUCGAAUCGCACGGCCUUGCGCCGGCGAUGGUUCAUUCAAAUUUCUUCCCUAUCAACUUUCGAUGUUUGGGUAGUGGCCAAACAUGGUGGCAACGGGUAACGGAGGGUUAGGGCUCGACCCCGGAGAAGGAGCCUGAGAAACGGCUACUACAUCCAAGGAAGGCAGCAGGCGCGCAAAUUACCCAAUCCCGACACGGGGAGGUAGUGACAAUAAAUACUGAUACAGGGCUCUUUUGGGUCUUGUAAUUGGAAUGAGUACAAUUUAAAUCCCUUAACGAGGAACAAUUGGAGGGCAAGUCUGGUGCCAGCAGCCGCGGUAAUUCCAGCUCCAAUAGCGUAUAUUAAAGUUGUUGUGGUUAAAAAGCUCGUAGUUGAACCUUGGGCCUGGCUGGCCGGUCCGCCUCACCGCGUGUACUGGUCCGGCCGGGCCUUUCCCUCUGUGGAACCCCAUGCCCUUCACUGGGUGUGGCGGGGAAACAGGACUUUUACUUUGAAAAAAUUAGAGUGCUCCAGGCAGGCCUAUGCUCGAAUACAUUAGCAUGGAAUAAUGAAAUAGGACGCGCGGUUCUAUUUUGUUGGUUUCUAGGACCGCCGUAAUGAUUAAUAGGGACAGUCGGGGGCAUCAGUAUUCAAUUGUCAGAGGUGAAAUUCUUGGAUUUAUUGAAGACUAACUACUGCGAAAGCAUUUGCCAAGGAUGUUUUCAUUAAUCAGGAACGAAAGUUAGGGGAUCGAAGACGAUCAGAUACCGUCGUAGUCUUAACCAUAAACUAUGCCGACUAGGGAUCGGACGAUGUUAUUUUUUGACUCGUUCGGCACCUUACGAGAAAUCAAAGUGCUUGGGCUCCAGGGGGAG